Micropterus salmoides (largemouth bass) is the source of this 2836-nucleotide long non-coding RNA. RefSeq lists it as uncharacterized. The record is from RefSeq and is a predicted model, not a curated record. Lineage: Eukaryota; Metazoa; Chordata; Actinopteri; Centrarchiformes; Centrarchidae. The transcript is spliced from 3 exons.
CAAGCUUUGUGGUGUGCUGCUCAAAACUUAAAUUACUGUCGAACCAGACACCAAGAUUCAGGCCUGAUAUGAUCCACAAGGCAACCAACAGAUGGCAGUAUUUGCUUUGCCAUUUGCUGGGACCCAGUUACUAGGAUCUCUGAUCUCUUGUCUGAGUUCAGCCGGAGGUAAUUUUUGACAUCACAGAGUGAUCAUGUGUUGCUAUCAGCUGUGACAGAUAAACAGCCUGUGAUCAGCCGUGUUUUGUUGAGAUCAAAUGUAUCGCUUGGUAUUGCAGAUGGAUACGUGUAACAGUUUCACUGUUUCUAUAUACAAAGUAUAAAUUGCACUUUAGUCCCGCCCACAAGGGAUGCAUGGAGAGACCGAGAGACGCAAGGAAAUCAAGCCAGGAGAGAAGGAACGAGGAAAUGUGUUUUUAGAGGAAUGACGUCCUUUCCUCCGAAGCGUCACGUAAAGCGACGUCCGUUAAGAUGGCGGCAGCUGAUCGCAGCUGGAUCAGUCGGCUCUAACAGCUGUAGAGACUACAAGAUGUCACAGGGCUUUGACGUCAUUUUCAGGCCUACAUAAGCGUCCAUGCAGGCUUUGGUCGGCUUCACUGUUUCAACUGUGGCUUACCCCCUUGGCAGAAACUCAUAGACGAACUCCACAGAAAUGGUUGUGAAGGUCAUCAUCAAAGUCGGUUUGUCCGGAGGGACGGAGACGACCAUCGGCCUUUGCGACACCGAGGAGCAGUUUCAGAGCAUCACAGUGCGGCAGCUGAAGGAGAAGAUAAGUCAGGCAGAGAAUCUCCCAGGGUUGUCAGUACCACUGGUCUUCAAAGACACGUAUUUGGACAGAGACGACGCUCUGCUGUCUGAAUAUGGAAUCCAACACAUGUCAGUCAUUUACAUUUGCCUACCUGAACCACAGGGGCCUGGUGGUGGAAUGGGUGACAAGGAGGGCAAAAACAGAAGUAUGGAAAUGCUCUUUCUUUUUUAAAACCUACCCUGGAUACAACUGUUUCCUACCGGGACACGUUUUAAUAUUUAUUGUUAAAAGACCGCUUUAACCUAAGUGGCAAGUCGAAUCACUGGAGGAAGUAAAGUCCACUGAGUCUUCAAGAAGGCUGAUGAUUACCCUGGCCUGUCUUCAUCAUGAUUUAUCACCAUCUGUCAUCACUUUUAGUUCAAACUACUCAUCAGACUUCAGAUAGACAUCCAAAUUCAUCAGUUACAAAGCUGUCCAGUUCUUGUCUACCAUACAUACAAGGACUAAUUUUCCAUGACAUUUUGCCAUGUAAAUUAAGACUUUUUGUUCAUACUAAAAACAUGGCUGACGCAGCAAGAAUUCAACAGUCAAUAUUCUGUGUUUAUCAGUCUGUAUUCAGUCUUUAAUGUUGUUAAACUGUCUAACUGGACCAGGAUUUGGAUCUGUCUGAGUUGAAUUGUGUUUUAUGACUUUUACUGUAUAUUAAUUGAUGUCACCAACUGACAUGGCUGCAAAGUAAUAGAUAAAUAUUGACCAUCACACACAAAUAAUUUGUAUCCUUAAAUCAUAUAACUUUAAAAAAGUGUUAAAAAGACGUUUGUGUUCAGAAAUUUGUGUGAAACAUUGUUUGUUUAACAUCAAUUAUUUUAGUAGUCAUAUUUAACACACAACUGUACCAGUUUUUCUGUUAAUACCCUUUGCUUUGUUUGCAUUUACUAAACUUUCCAGCAUGAAACUGAAGCAUUUUUCUAUGGGCUCAUGGAAUCAGACUCCGAAAGACCUAAAAAACUGUUUGUUUUAACCUUAAAACUUACAGAAGUGUUAAAACAAUAUAUGUUUACGUGACUUUUUGUGACUUGUUGGAUAUGCAACCACUUUCCAAGUCAGAGGAGGCAGUUAUGCUUGGUUAUUGACUUAGCUAAACUCGGGCACAGAACAUCAGGCUAGCAAUGUCCAUGCGAUGAGCCACAAAUCCCGUUUAACAACAACAAAUCCUGCGAGAUUAUGUCACAUUCCUGACCAAUCAACAUACUACAUUUAGCAACAAGCAACAUCUUAGAUAAGGUGUGGGAAUGAGGUAGCCUAAAACUUAGCUAUUAUGAACUAUCAAAUCAACCUUUCAAAAUGGUCUUUUGGAUGCUGCCAUUAUAAUUUUCUGUUGUAAACUGAGUGUUAUAUCAGAGUCAUCUGUUAAUAAAAGUAAACCUGAACAUAAAGGGAUAUCAAACAUUUGGAAAGCACUUUUACUACAUAAAGCCUCACAAUGGGUGGGUUAUUUACCAAUUAUUGUGAAAUCCAUAAAAUCUCUCGACUUGAACUAAAUAAUUUCAUGUGAGCUAACGUUACACAACUAACUUACCACAGGCAACACAAAGUUAGCAAAACGAACAGCAAACAUAGCUGGAGAUGACACGAAUGAACCUGAUCCUGGCUCACGAGUGUUGAGUUAAAUAAAGUUUCUUCACUUUAUCUUUAACCUGAUGGUUGAAACCAGUCCUCCUUAUUGUCUUGUACAGAUGAGGAAGAUGCUAGUUGGAGGGAAUACUGUCAACUCAUGGGAUGGAAUUUCACAGAAAUGCAAACAUAUAUUGUAUUGUAGUGAGUUAUUUGUGGCUUUUUUUGUACAGAUUUGUACACAUUGGCCAAAUUGCAAACAAGUGUAGAAAGGAAGUCACAAAUGUAACAUAACCCGUAAUCGGCUUUGGAAAUUUCUCCUAUCAAUUUGUGACUGGACAAAUGUGCAAUGUCUGUAUUUUUGUGGAUAUGAUUUUACACUAAUGUAAAAAAUACAUAUUAGUGGAUUGUGAAAUAUUUGUGGAUCACAAUACAUAUUUGUGGGUUAAAAAUAAUAAAGUCCAAUAAAAACAUC